RNAcentral lists this ribosomal RNA (459 nucleotides) under uncultured bacterium. Its description in RNAcentral is "partial 16S ribosomal RNA". It matches the Rfam family "Bacterial small subunit ribosomal RNA", at positions 339 to 795 of the family's 1533-position model. The record is from RNAcentral.
CUACGGGACGCUCCAGUAAGGAAUAUUGCGCAAUGGAGGCAACUCUGACGCAGCCAUGCCGCGUGCAGGAAGAAGGCCUUAUGGGUCGUAAACUGCUUUUAUUUAGGAAUAAACCCCCGAACGUGUUCGGGGCUGAAGGUACUAAACGAAUAAGCACCGGCUAACUCCGUGCCGGCAGCCGCGGUAAUACGGGGGGUGCAAGCGUUAUCCGGAUUUAUUGGGUUUAAAGGGUGCGCAGGCGGGCUAUUAAGUCAGUGGUGAAAUCCCGGGGCUCAACUCCGGAACUGCCAUUGAUACUGAUAGUCUUGAGUUUGGUUGAAGUGGGCGGAAUGUAGCAUGUAGCGGUGAAAUGCAUAGAUAUGCUACAGAACACCAAUCGGGAAGGCAGCUCACUAAGCCAAAACUGACGCUCAUGCACGAAAGCGUGGGGAUCAAACAGGAUUAGAUACCCUGGUAGUC